RNAcentral lists this ribosomal RNA (253 nucleotides) under uncultured bacterium. Its description in RNAcentral is "partial 16S ribosomal RNA". It matches the Rfam family "Bacterial small subunit ribosomal RNA", at positions 524 to 776 of the family's 1533-position model. The record is from RNAcentral.
UACAGAGGUCUCAAGCGUUGUUCGGAUUCAUUGGGCGUAAAGGGCGCGUAGGCGGCGCAACAAGUCACUUGUGAAAUCUCCGGGCUUAACCCGGAGCGGCCAAGUGAUACUGUCGUGCUAGAGUGCGGAAGGGGCUACUGGAAUUCUCGGUGUAGCGGUGAAAUGCGUAGAUAUCGAGAGGAACACCUGCGGCGAAGGCGGGUAGCUGGGCAACAACUGACGCUGAGGAGCGAAAGCGUGGGGAGCGAACAGG